AACGAACGCUGGCGGCACGCCUAACACAUGCAAGUCGAGCGAGACCUUCGGGUCUAGCGGCGGACGGGUUAGUAACGCGUGGGAACGUACCCUUUUCUACGGAAUAGCCUCGGGAAACUGGGAGUAAUACCGUAUACGCCCUUUUGGGGAAAGAUUUAUCGGUGAAGGAUCGGCCCGCGUUAGAUUAGAUAGUUGGUGGGGUAAUGGCCUACCAAGUCUGCGAUCUAUAGCUGGUUUGAGAGGAUGAUCAGCAACACUGGGACUGAGACACGGCCCAGACUCCUACGGGAGGCAGCAGUGGGGAAUCUUAGACAAUGGGCGCAAGCCUGAUCUAGCGAUGCCGCGUGUGUGACGAAGGCCUUAGGGUCGUAAAGCACUUUCGCCAGGGAUGAUAAUGACAGUAC
RNAcentral lists this ribosomal RNA (404 nucleotides) under Rhodobacteraceae bacterium S139. RNAcentral's name for it is "bacterial SSU rRNA". It matches the Rfam family "Bacterial small subunit ribosomal RNA", at positions 29 to 478 of the family's 1533-position model. The record is from RNAcentral. Lineage: Bacteria; Pseudomonadati; Pseudomonadota; Alphaproteobacteria; Rhodobacterales; Paracoccaceae.